AAAAGAAAAAAAAUUGUGAUUUAGAUCAAAUAAGUUGAUUUUAUUUUAAUUAAACGAUAAAAAAAUUAAUAAUAACAAAAAAUUAAUAAUUUUAAAAAAAAAUGAUCGUGGUAACCUAGGAAAAAAUAUUUUUUUAAAAAAAUGAUAAAUAAUAGAAUUUAAUUUUCAGCCCAUUAAAUAUGGAAUGUACCAAAUUGUAUUUUAUCUGACUUGAUAAUUGUGAAAAUACUUAAAAACUCGUUGAGGCCAGUUUAAUUUUUUUUGCUUCCAAAAGUAUUUUUGUUGUUUCUUUGUGUUUUUGAAGUGCAAAAAAAUUUAUUUAUCCCAAUCAAUUUGAUAAUGAUUAAUGAAUCAUAUAAGAAGAUCUAAAUGUUUCCAAUAGCCAGUUUUAAGAAAAACGUGAAAAUAUUGUUCUAGUAAACAAUAUUUUACUUGAUUUUAGUUUUUGUUAAUGAUAUUUUUUAAUUAAUUUAUAUGCAUCAAUAAAAAUUAUUUUUUUUUCUAAGUGAUAUUUAGUAGGCACUUUAGCAUGUUGAUGUAUUGUAUUAAAAAAACAAAAAAAAAAACUCUCUUAAAUUCUAACAUUAAAACUCAAAACUAAGAUUUUUAAAAAGUAAACAAAUUUAAUCAAAUCAAUCUUUCCGAGUUUGCCUAGUUUAUAGAGUGACUACUAUCUUAUUGAGACCUCACAUGCUCGCCCCGAUGGAUUAGGUUGACUAGUACGUGGAUGAAGCAAAUCACUGUUGUCCCAUCAUUUUCAACACGUUAAUAAUUCAUCUACCUGCUCUGAAAGUAAAGCAAAAAACCUAAAAAAAACUAAAAGUCUUUGAGUGUACUUUUCUUUUCAGACAAGAAGUUGUGACAAGCCCUUCUUCUUACGGAAAAUUACGAAAUCCCCCCCUGGAAAAGGACAUAAUUUAUUGUGAGUGAAGUGUUUUUGGUAAGAAUUCUGCAACCCAGCACAUGGAUUCUACACCACUGUCUGCGCGGCGGUGACUUGGUCAAGUCGCCGAAUGCAAGGUAUUUUUGUGCCAAAAAGUCCACUGCGAUCUUUCUGCAAAAGCAUCCUAGAACCCACCUUGUUCGUCUUUACCGAUCGACGAACAUGGAUAACUUUGAGAGAUGAUGUGCCUUUUGUACAGCUAAAUUAAUGAAGAUCUAGACUUGGUGGAUAGUGAACCUACAAAACAAUGUGGGAGACCUUUCAAUGGUUUAUAUAUAUAUAUAUAUGAGCAAGGAAGGCAGUGAAGAAGAUUGGAAAUGUAUAAAGAAGGUGAAGAUGCAUAAAAAUCCCCUAACCCUAGAUCUUUUUAUUCCUUGCAUGGGCAGAGGACUUUGCACGGGGAGAAGGGAAAUUUGUUUAAAAACAUGGUUUUGAAUCCAAUUUAUAAAUGUAUUUCCUCAUUUUUAGGGUUAAAAUUUUGUUAGAAUUUAAUCCUUAUUAUAAAACAUUAAUAUGGUUUAAAUAAAUUAUAAGUAAAUAAAAAACUAAUCUUAAAAAACCUUUAGCUGACAUGUUAUGGUAAAAUCUUAAAACCUUUUAUAAGAGCACUCAAGUUUUUAGAGGGAAAAUAUCCUAAAUAAAAUGGAUUUUGAGCUUAAACUAGCACAUGACUUGGUUUCUGUUCGGAUCAUCCCUGAAUUUGAGUUUAUUGUAAAAUAAAUUUUUAGAUUAUAAAAUAUUUUUUAUUUUGCCAACUAAAAUUUAAAUUUAGGUGUGGUCUAAAAGAAUUAUUUAUUCCAUGCCAAUGUUUUGUCCAGUCUACCCCAUGUUUUUGUCCAUCCAAACUCAUGAAUAAAGAAUUUGAUCUUAUUCCAUAAGCAUUUUGCAAACUCGAAAAGUUUUUUUUAGCUCAAAAACUUAAGAUUUAUGCCCAAAAUAUUCAGGUUUAAUUUUGGUUUUUUGAUAAAUAAUUAAAUUUGAUAAUGAUGAGGAUUAAUUCUAGUCAUUACCAUAAAUAAUUCUGGUUUUAUGGAGGAUUAUUAAAGUUGAUAAUGACAAUGAUUAAUUCUAGUUAUUAUCAUAAUUAAUUGCCAAUCUUUUUAACUUCUAAAAUUCACUAUAUAAAGGGGUAAAGAAGAGUUUUGAUGCAUAAGAUUUUUUUUCUAAUACAUAGUUUUAUGUUAUUGUAUAACUUUUAAAUUGAUAAUUGAAUUAGGUUGGAAAUCUUCUAAAAGAUUUUAAAGAUCAUAUUUUCUAUAGGGUUAAAACUUCAAAGAAAACAAACAUUAGAAAUGCCUUCAAAUAAGUCUCAUAAGUUACUACUUGAGAUUUGAUAUAUUUUCCUAGUUGAUCUAAAUUUUUUAUUAUUAUUUAGAUUAGAACGCUUGGCUUUAUUUAAUACAUGUUUUCUAGUUUGACAAAGAUUUUUAUUAUUUUUUCAUUAUUUUUGUGUUUUCUUGUUGGUUUAGGUAAGUUUUUAGGUUUGUUUAAGGAUUAUGAAUCUCCUAGAGAAUAGACUACAUCAAUAGAAAAUAUUCAACAAUAAAAUUCUGAAAUAAGAUUUUUGUGUGAUCCCUUUUUUUUUUAGCAUAAUGAUGUGUUCUUGUGCUUGUUGUUUUUCUUAUAUUGCUUUCAUUUAUGUAUCAGAGCCUAACUAUCCCAAAUUAUUAUUUGUUGAGUUGUGCAUUUUUGGGUGUUAGUAAAUAACUAUAGCUAACAGAGGUCACUAAGUAGAACAUGUUUAGGUAAGAGGGGAUGUAGAGGUCUCCUAUCUAGAGAGAAAUGUUUAAGAGUUGGUGAUAAAAAAACAUACAAAAAUAGAUUGCAAAAUUGAAAAGAGAUGGUCAAGAACUAGUAUUCAAGAAUUGAUGAUAGAUGACAUGCAAAAAUAAAUUGAAAAAUUAAACUGUUAGUUGGUAGGGGUGACGAGCACUAGGGAUUGUGAUCAUAGAUCCAUGACUAGUUUUGAAAAUCAUUUCAGAAACAUAAGCAUGUGAGACAAGUUCUUGAUCAAGAUGACUAGAUUUUACCAUGAGUUAGGCCAGUUUAUUUGUGUUGACUCAAGCCAUUAUUCUUUUUGUUUUUGUUUUUUUUUUAAAGCAAAAUUUCCUUAACUUUAGCCUCCAACAUUGAUUAUUUAGGAAUUGAAUUUAUCAAUUUUUUUAAUUUAUUUUUUAUAGGUCAUGAUGACCCGAAUCGUGAAUUUCACAGCUUAAUUAGAGUUAGUCUAAUUUAAUUUAAUAUAUCAUCAUUACAAUAUUAUUUUUAAAAAAUAUUAUUUAAUAUAUCACUUUUUUAGUAUUUAAAAAAGAUUUUGUUUGAUAUGGAUUAGAUUUUUAUUUCAUGACUAAAUUAUUUUUCUGCAAAAAAAUAUUAACAACGCAUUUAAUUUUUCUUCUUACAUUUAAAAAAUUAAUCCAACCCAUACGCUAUACAAGAUAGAAAUAUAUUUAUGUUUUAACUGCUUCCGUUGACUUUAGAGUCCAAAACCUAUUCACUCGAAUUUUCAUGUAAAGGUAAAAAGAGUCUAAUCAAACAAACGAUCUAAACCCAGCCAAUCCUGUUUCCAUUCAAGGGGAGGUCCAAACUCCAACAUCCACGUGGAACCACCCAAUUGGUUCAAACACCUCGUUCAUUGAACCAGUGUUACUUUGCAGACGAAGUUUGUGGUGGGUAAGAGAUAAUGCUAGCUGUUAUAGUUUAAAAUAUUUUUUAUUUAAAAAUAUAUUAAAAUAAUAUAUUUUUAUUUUUUUAAAAUUAUUUUGAUAUUUAAAAAUAUAAAAAAAUUAAUUUAAUAUAAAAUAAUUUUCAAAUUUUUGCCUUGCUAAGCACACCGUUAAUAAUUUUAUUAGCAGUAGGAAAAGAAAAUAAAGAGAGAGGCAACAGUCAAGUGGCGCGAAGACCACGUCACAAGUAAAUGCAAGAAACGCGGACAAUAAAAACUGGGAAGUGAAAGUACCGUCGUCAACAGUCGCUGGAUCCUCAUCAACACUCGCCUUAAUCUCUCCUUUUUUUCUCUUCACUUUCUUGAUUUUCUAGAUCACAAUUAUCUUCCCUUCCUAUUUAUUAUCUCCACCUGCUUAUUACACUAGCAGCAGCCAUGAUUGGCAAAGAAAUCCUACACAAGAUGAAGGUAUGAAUGGAUGUAUAUCCUUUGUAGUGAACAAGUUAUUGAUUUGAGAUCUUCAAUAUUUCAACCAUUAUAUAUGUGUUUACUGCUUUCCCUGUUUUUUCUUCUUUUUAUGGCCUUGAAUUCGUGAGUUUUUUCUUGCUUGGUCUACGUGUGUUUGGAGACUUCAUAAAUGUGCUUUUUUGAUUUAUAAUUAAAGACAUGAUUUUUUGAUUUAUUUGUUUGGAGUGAUAUGGAUCAGAUGGGGUUAGAGAUAAUGCUUAUUCUGUGUUCAUAGUAAGUCUUAACAUCAUUCCAGUUCUGGAUUUUAUGGGGGGUACUCUCAACAUCAUUAAAGCCAGUUGCUAAUUAUUUGUUACAGUAGCUAAUUUAUUGAGAAUUGGGAACUUUCAUGAUCAUACGAAAUUAAAGUAUUUUGACAUUAACAAUCACAAUUUGCAUUCAGAGAUAAGGAAUUGUUGAACAAAUUAUGUUAAUAUCAAUGUGUAGUGCAUGCUGAGAUAUAAUGUCAAUGAGAUGGGAUCUUACAAUGUGUUUUAUUCGGAAGGAACCUAGAACAUGGCAGUUAUUAUUUUACUUUGCAAUUGCUAUCUUUAACCAAGUUGCUAUAAUUUCUGUUUGGGAGGAAGACAUCACGUUCGAAGAAGAAUUGUAAGACUCUUUUGUUCCAAACAAUUAUAAUUAUACAACUAUGGAAGUAUUUUUAAUUAAUAUGUUUUUGUGGUUUGUUCAGCUCUUUGACAUUGAUUACACAUGCAUUUUUCAUUGGAUUACUAGCCGUGUGAGUUACCUACAAGUUUGAAUGCACAUAUUGCAGGAAAAGGUUGGAUUAGGUUCUUCUCCAGAUUGUGGAAAGGGCAAGAGUAAGAUUUCGAAGCACAUAACACAUGGCUUUCACUUAGUAAAGGGGAAAUCACAUCAUGACAUGGAAGAUUAUGUUGUUGCUCAAUUUAAGGAAGUCGAUGACAAUGAACUUGGUUUGUUUGCAAUAUUUGAUGGUCAUCUCAGCCAUGUUAUUCCUGAUUAUUUGCGGUCUCAUUUGUUUGACAAUAUCUUGAAGGAGGUAAGGCAUUCUAUCUGUGUAUUGUAAGUCAUUAUUGAAGCAUCAUUUUGUGAGCUACUUUGUAGGCCUAAAUUUUUUACUAUGGUUAUGGGAUAGGAUUCUGGGGUUGGUUGCUUAAUGGCUUCUCAUUUUUAAGUGGAGCUGAGAAUUGAUAUUUCAACUUUUAUGAUGGGCUAAAUAUGCUUGCUAUUUCCCCUUCUUAGAUUGUCCAUUCUGCUUGUAGUUUUCUGUACUGGGUGGAUUUGAUGAAAAUGAAUGUCUAUUUCUUGUUUGAAUAUUUCCUUCAUGCAGCCAGACUUUUGGACACAGCCAAAAAAUGCUAUGAGGAGAGCAUAUUGUAUUACUGAUACUACAAUUUUGGAGAAAGCCGGUGAUUUGGGUAAAGGAGGUUCAACGGCUGUCACUGCUAUACUAAUUAACUGUCAGAAGCUGGUAGUAGCAAAUGUAGGUGACUCACGAGCUGUUAUCUGCAAGAAUGGUGUUGCCAAACAACUCUCAGUUGAUCAUGAGCCAAGCAUGGAAAGGGAGGAAAUCGAGAACAGAGGUGGCUUUGUGUCAAACUUUCCAGGUAAGAGAUUUGCUGAGUUUCAAGAACUAUGUUGUUCUACAAUGUUUGGACUCUACAUAAAUAUGAUUAUGAUUGUGUUGUGAGAAAUGGAGCAUUGGAAAUUAGACUGUUAGGACAUUACUGCUUUUAAUGCCUUUAGGUUUUGAGGCUUGCAAGUGCAUGCUGGAAUUUUGAAAAUGGAUUGCAUACUGUGCACUCUUUCACAGGGAAAAUGGAUGCUUUAAAUGAUAGAAUUUGCACCAAGUUAUUGCACUGAUUGGUGUCCUGUGACCUGUUGAUGAAUAGACAUGGGUUAUCUUUUUAAACUGAUGGAACUGCACUUUUCUAUUAUCUGGUUUCAGACAGCCAUUGUGAGCAUGCAAUCUGUUGCACUAUGAUCAGCCAUGUGAUUCUUCUUUGUUCCAAUAUCAAUACCUUUAGACUAUCUCUCCUCCUUAUAGAGAUGUUUCAAUAGUCUGUCACUAUCAAUAUUAACUUUCCAAGUCACUAUCAAUAUUAACUUUCCAACUUUAUGAAUUCAGGGGAUGUCCCACGUGUUGAUGGACAGUUGGCAGUGGCAAGGGCAUUUGGUGACAAGAGCUUGAAGGAACAUCUGAGUUCAGAACCAGAUGUUGCAAUGGAGAUGAUUGAUGAUGAUACAGAUUGUAUUAUCUUAGCAAGUGACGGGUUGUGGAAGGUUUCUUUUACUUGGAACUUUCUACCUCUAAUCUUUGUUGGGAGGAUAAAUUAUUUGUUUGCCCUUUUUAUGGACUAAAAUCCGUUCCUCAAUAUGAUGCCAGGUGAUGUCCAACCAAGAAGCGGUGGAUGCUGUCAAGAACAUAAAGGAUGCGCUGUCUGCAGCAAAGCGGCUUACUGAAGAAGCACUUAAUAGGAAGAGUUCAGACGACAUUUCCUGUGUGGUUGUGAAAUUUCAGUGACCUCACCCCGGAUUCCUCCUCUUGCUCAUGUUUGAUAAGAAACUCUCAGAGGUGUGUAAUACUGUAAUUAGCCCUGGUACAUUAAUAACUAUCAUGCAUGUUUUCUGCUACAUUAGUAGCUGGUUAUCGUGUUCUGUUGCAAGUAGAAUGAAGUGGACCUGCUUGGUAUCAUUGUGCCUAUAAUAUAGUUCGAGGGAGUAGGGAUGUUUGAAUGGUUUGGCGAACCGUCUCUUUGAUGCCAGCCUUAGCCCUCAAAGGAGGGGUUGCCCCAACUACUGUGUCUAAUGUUACCUUGCUACCAAAUUAUUAUAUUACUAUUUACAAAAGAAGUUAUAAGAGGGUGGUGUUUUACUGUAGAUACAUUGUAGAACAGACUCGUUUGCAUUGUGGAUUCGACAUUAUGUUAUAUUGUUCAUCAGGGCCAAAUGAUAUCGUCAACCAAAUCCUUUCUUGAAUUUGAUUUUUUGAAAACAUAUAUUCUCUUUGGUCCUUAGGUUUCCAAGUUUUUCUUGAAUGGUUCUUGCCCUUCAUUUUUAAUACAUGCCGGUCCCUAGAUGGAGAGAGAGAGAGAGAGAGAGAGAACCGGUGAGGGAGAAGGAAGGAGAGAGAAAACUCUGAUGAGCUCCAUUCAGGCCAUGUAAUUCAAAAAUCUGUGUCCAUGUAUUCUCGGAAAAAAUAUUAGUCUUUUGGGAUUCAUAUGUUUGCGGAAGUAAGUUUCUAGAGACAUGUUUUGAGGUUGUAAAAUGGUUUUUAAAUGGUUAUUUUUUAGAUUGUUCAUGCAACUUAACAAGAAAAUGAUAUAUCAUGAUUUUGACCUUUAUUUAUAUGUAAAAAAUAAUAUCAAAAUUAAUUACUAUUGUAAAAAAUAAUGAUUUUUUUUAUAACCUUGCAAGAAAUAGGGAUUAAUUAUCAAUUUAUUUUAUAAUAAUAGAGGUUUGAUAAUUAAUAACUAAUUAAUCUAGGGCUUAUAGUCUUAAGAACUUUUACAAGGAUAACAAAAUUGAUAUAACAUUGAUGUGCUUACAAUAACGAAAAUAUUGCCACUACUAGUACCAGUAGAUGUUAUGUUGAUAAUUUAUUGUUUUUUAAGUUUAUAUUAGUUUUUGGUUAAUAAUAUCUAGCUUCUGAUAAUAAUCAUUGAUGUUAUGACCUAAAUUUCAAAUUUAUGAUUAGUAACACAGGUGCGAUGUCAUAAGGACAUCACACCCACACUAAAUCUUAGAAUGUAUAUAUCAUAAAACAAAUUAUAUAAAGAUUUUAUAGCAUUUUAAUAUCCUUCAAAAUAUUAUAUUCUUCAAAACUAGUAAAAAUAAAUAACUCUUAAUUUUUUUUUCAUCGGAUAAAAUAAAACAAAUAAUUUAUAAUACUUAUUACAUUGUUAAAAUCCGAAUUUAAUUAAAAUAGUGUAAUAGUAAAGUGUUUAAGAUACCAGCUAGGUAUACAAAAUAUUAUAUGCACAUAGACGAAUUAUUCUCUGUUAGCAUGAAGUUACUGAUAAGUAUAUCGAAUUUACAUGCUAACAAAAAUUAAAAACUUGAAAUAAUAUUAAAAAAAUAGGGGGAUAAGUUCAACCAAGUCAGUAAGGGAAUAACAUUCAAGAAUAGGUGAGUAUUUAGAAAAUAAAGCAACAUAUAUAAAUAUUCAAGAAAUUAACUACAUGUACUCAUCGUAUAAUCAACAUACAUAUUUAUUUAUAUUACAUGUAUAUUAAAGAUUAUCCCACUCACCCGGAAAACGAAAGAAAAAGACAAACAGAUGCAGAACCGAAGACUACUGAAGAUCGUUAGGAGAAACAUCAACAUAACUUAUAAUGGAUAUGAAAAACACUAAAAAACAACUCGAAGUAAAGUAACAUAAAAGAUUAAAAACUUUAAGCUUAAAGACCAAAACGUAAAUAUAAAGCUAAAUUGAUUCACCCGAUCGAUCCCGAACUUAAUCCAAACUGAUCAAACAUAACAUACCCAAUAAAACUUUAAUGUUGGUCAAUCGGUCGACCAAGAUGACCAACCGGUCGACCACUAUCACAGGCUAACUGGUUUAAACUAAUCGGUCGACAACAUCAAUUAGUCAACCGGUCAGCCAGUUCAACCAAUCGAUCGACUGAUUAAUUAGGGUUUUCAGAAUCUCGAUUUAUCAGUCUUCAAACUUGUAAAUUUCAUAAUAACACAAUCUAUUUUUCAAAAACUCAUAAUUCCAGACAUCAAAUCAAUUUGUUUAAGGCCAACUAACAUCUUAAAAUAUCAAUUCAAUCCUUUAAAUCAUUUUAUCAUCAAAACAAUAUAAAAACCCUAAAUACAUCUUAAAACCUUUCAUAAUCAAUCCUUAAUUGAAAAUAACAAAAGAGGAAAAACCACUUACUUAUUUCUUCAACCUUUCUUAAACUAAAAACUUCAAUUCAAAACUGAAAUCCCUUGUAAACAGGAUUGGAAAGUCGCGAUAGGGAGAGAAAAUAGAGAAAGAGAGAAAACAAUGCUCUUAACAAUUUUUUCUUUAAAUAUCUAGGUUGGUUGGAUUGGGUUUGGGUAGAACCUUGGGCUUAGAUUGUGCUAAGAAUAUGGGUCUUACAAUUGACAUUUUAAAAAAAUGUGAUUUCUUAUUCUUUUGAAUUAACACAAGAAUUUCGUUUGACUGUAUCAUUUUUUUAUAUAUAAAUUUAUAAUUAGGUUUCAAUCUUUGAAAAUUAAUAUUUAAAAUUACAUCAAUACAAAAAGAAAAAAACUAUCAAGUAGAGAUGAUGGGGUUUUUUAUUUAUUUAUAGUUAUGGACUCAUUAAAUGAAAUCAUGCACCAUUUCAAUAUUGAUUGCUUGAUUAUUCUUAUGAACAUUGAUUUUUGUGUUCAUUUAAUUAUUGACUCUUUCAAUUAUAUUUGUAAGUGUUAUUAAUAAUUAAUUGCGUGAUAUCAAAACUAUACAUAUCUAUAAAAUAUAUCUAAGCUCAAAAGUAAAAAUACACAUGAUAUUAAAUACUAUAAAAUGCAUAUUAAAUUAAAAUAUUUUUAAAAUUAAUAUUAAUCAAUUUUGAUUUCACUCGACUACAUUUUUAGAAUUAAUUGAAAUAUUAAAAUAGACUUUAUAAGGUUACCAGUCGAAACUACUAAUUAAGAAAAAACUAAAAGAUCUUGGCAAGAUGUUGUUCAUUCAACUAUACACGAGUGCAUACAUAAUUGCAUUGUGAAUUUACACAAAGUAAUUUUCUUUUUUUAAAUCAUGUAGUUAUUUUCACCUCAAUUCUAUCCUUCCAUGUGGGUUUUAUUUGAGAUUGGUUUUAAUGGUUUGUUUUAAUAAGUUCAAUGUGGGGUUUUCGUUGGAUAAAAAAAGUAUCCUAUCACUGGUCUAGCACUUGAUUCUGUAAAACAAAUAUUCAUAUUUUUUGUUUUUCGAAGGAUUGAAACUAAAGGAAACUACAAUUGAAAAUUGUAAAGAAAAAAAUGGAGCUCUUUUUGGUUUUGAAAGGAAGAAAAGAAGAAAUUAAACAUGAGAACCGAGAAGAGGAGAUAGAAAAAAAAAAGUAAAGAAGAAUGGGUUAACGAAACCACAUUGGAGCUUUAUAGUCACCCCAUACUGUGGUAAAAGGAUGUCCUUGCCAAGACGAUUCUAACAACACCAAGAAAAGUCAUUAUCAAAGCUUGAAGGAAGCCACGCGGGCCUCCCAAAUGCAGUGGCUUUCCUCACACGCUAGUGCAUUAGAAACUCUUUACCAUCUUCAUUCAAUUUAGUCACAGAUUCUCUAAUAAUUCUUCAAUUCAAUCCUGACUUCAUCUUAUCGAGUCGGAUGAAGGCUCAAUCAGGGAGACAAAAACAAAAGGGAAAAGAAAGAGAUGAAAGGUCCAACUGAAUUAGUUCAUUGUGAUCAUGUUCAUUAUCCAAGUCAUGAAUUUUACGAGUUAACCUGAAUUGAUCAGGGUCAAUCCAAUAUGUCUCAAUCUCAAUAUUAAAAAAAAAUGCAAUUUGAUUUUUUUUUUAAGUCAAACUACUUUUUUACCGUUUGUCUAGGUUAAUUUCAAACACAACAAGUUGACUGAGUCACAUUGGUUAAACUCUCACAUAAUUUAUUUAAAGCUUGAUCUAGGCAAGGAGUUAAGUAAAAAAGUUUUAAGGUUGACUUGUUGGAUCAUGUUUAAUGACACUGUCAAAGAGUUUUUCAUGACCUGAACAUUUUUUUUUAUAUUCAUAUAAUGUCCCUACUUAAUUUUUUUUAAAAGCUCGAGUAACAUUGUCUUAAUUUUUUUUUAUCAGAUCAAGUUUUGAUCGGAUCAACUUGAUAUAUUAUGAAUUUAUGCCUAUUUUUUUAAAAAAAAUAUAUGCUCAAAAGAAUUUAUUGACACCUCAAGUUCGUGUCCGUAGUGGAGCUUUGACAGCAAAACUAGUAAAUAUGCUAAAAAAAAUGUAGAUUCACUGUUGCUAAACUAUAGUGAGAUUACUUUUUUUUCCUUAAAAAAAAUUAAGACGUAGCUUCCCAAACAAUAUAAGUUGGUUUUUUUUUAGUUUUUUUUUUAAUUUAAUAAAUGUGAUUUCAUCCCCAUGUCUAAAGUAAUUGGCUUGAAGAAUACAAGUCAAAAUAACAUAGGUUUUUUUCAAAAAAAAUUAAAGUAGCUUAAUCCUUGAAAUUCUAAUCUAUGUGAUUUGGUCUUUUUGUUUACACCUAAAAGUGGGUAUUUUUUUGCAUUUGUUUUUUUAUUAUAAGUCAAAAUUCUUAAAGAUUAAGAAUAUUAUAAUUAUGGAUAUAUGUCAAAAAUAUUACUGCAACUUUUUAUAUAGAAAAAACUAGGAAAUCCUAAUAAUAUUGAAUAGGAAAAUAAAAAAAUUCCUUUUAAUAGAAAAACUAGAAAAGCCUAAUAAUAUUGAAUAAGAAAAAAAUUUAAAACUAAAUAAGAAAUAAAAAAAGCUGAAAAAAAUAAGAAAUAUCUAAAAAGCUCGUGCAUCAAGGAUGUCGCCAGUUGGUUGGUUAAUUUCAACAUUUUAGUUAGCCAAGCAUAGAAAACAAAACAUUAGUAUUUACACUCCUCUUCCUGUAUUUGAUUGUCUUUAGCAAGAUGCAAGUAUGGAUUUUGUCCUAAAGCUUUCAUUUACCUUAAAGAAGCAUGAAUCCAUAAUUUUAAUUGUUGAAUGUUUUUCUAAGAUGACCCACUUCAUUCCUUAUACCAAUGUCAUGGAUGCCUCUUGAGUUACUAAACUCUAUUUUGAUGAGAUCAUGAAGUUAUAUCACCUCUCUAAAGCCAUAGUCUUAGAUAGGGAUGUGCGAUAUAUGAAUUACUUUUGGAAUUACCAAGUUGAAAUUCUCUGGUACCUAUCACCCCAAAACAAAUGGUAAAACUGAUAUGAUCGAUCGAAGCUUAGUUAAUCUCUUAAAUGUCUGAAGAGUAACUAUAAUAGGAAUUGAGAUUUGGAUCUCCCUACGACCUGGUUUUCUUAUAUUAUCUUGGUUAAUAAUUCUAUAGGUAUGAGUCCAUUUAAAGUUGUUCAUGGUAAACUAGAAAUCUUGUAGACCUUCUUUCCAUGUCUUUUUUACACUAAGAAAUCUAAGUUAAUAGAGUCUUUUUUAUAUGAAUUUCAUGGUUUGGAUGUUGAGAUCGCAAAAUAAAUUCAAGCAAGUAAUGUCCAAUACAGACUUCAAGCUUAUUUAUAUAAGCGUCACAAUGCAUUUAAUGUUAGAGAUUAUGUCAUAUCCUUUCAAAACCAAUAAAAAUUGAUGGCAUGUAAAGUUGGACUAUUCAAAGUAUUAUUGAGGUUGGAUCAAAUGCUUAAGUCAUUGACCUAUCCUUAACUUUGGUAUUAACUAUAUUUUUAAUAUAGAGAAUCUUGUUGAAUAAAGAGACAACAACCUAUCUCAUAUGACCCUUGUUACCUUUUUCAUCAGCAUAAAAAGAACAUAUUGAUGCUAUUUGGAUGAACAAGUUGUUUUUAUAAGGGAUAAUGAGGUCUAAUGAUUUCUAUUUUAUUGGGUUAGGUGACCUGAUUUGGAUUGUACUUAGAUCACUAGAUAUACAUUGAAGCGUGUUAAUUCUGAUCUUUGGGAACACUAUCAGAGUUGUCAAAAGCUACACUUGACAGGGUUGAGUUUUUCAACUUCAAAAGAGUUGGUGGGGACGCUAGACCCGUAUUGCAGGUCACACACAUAUGAACAUAAACGAUGGAUGAUAGCUCAACUCAUCACCCUUUUGUUACUGGACUUUAUUUUAUUCUAUUUUGGAUUUCAUUUUAUUUAGCUCAAUUGUUGGUAAUGUUUUUAUUAGGGUUUGGUUUAGACUAUUUAGAUAUAUUUUUCUAUGACAUUAACAGUUUGAUAAUUAAUUAAAAAUAAAUAAACUUUUGUAUGAGACGCUGCUUUUCUUCUCCUCUCUUUAACCGUCUUCUCUUCCCUUAUUCCUUUUAUCCUCUUUAAUUUAUUGUUGAACCGCAUCAACUUGUGGCGAGUUUUUAUUUUCCCUAAAACACAUGUAACAAAUAGAAAAAUAAAAAUAAAACUCUUGAUGCUAUAGAUAUACACACACACUUUGAUGUGUGAUUCAUCCUUUGCAAUUUAUGUGCUUCAUUUGUAUAUAUAUAAAUAUAUUUUGAGCUUAGAUUUUGAUAUAUUUGAACUUUAAUUAAAUUUAAUCUAAGACUAUCUUAACAAUUUAUAAUCAUGCUUUUUGGAUAGGGAAUAGUACGUAGUCUUGAAUCAUAGGAUAAUGGAAGGGUAGAACCAGCUAGAAAUCUAGGUUUACAAGCAUCGUAAGAGUUGGGUUAGACUAAUUUUCAUUGGAUGAGUUUGGUUCAGACGCAGGAAGCAGCUCUUUGGUACAGCUAUCCUCAGCAACGUUGUUUUCUUAGUAAGAUGAACCCAACGAGGUUCUUUUGCAGUUCGGCAAGAACAUAGUCAAUAAUAUUCUUUAUAGGAUAGAUAUUAUUCUUUAUAGGAUAGCAAUAAGAUUCCACCAAGCCAAUGCUGGUAGAACCUUGAACACCAUUUGAGGCCUAAUCCACAUAAUACAGCCUCUGUCAAACAACAUUACAGCAAGUAGAUACUAAAGUACACCAAGGACAUACGAUCCCUUGUAGUGGUCGAUCUUAUACGGUCCCAAACAUGCGUAGAAUUAAGCUGUUACUUGACAGAAGAGAGGGAGCAUGCCGCUGGUUUGGUCUUCAUCUGAUCUGGGAUCGCUUGUAAGAGGAACUUCCUUGGGGUGGGAUGUUUAUCUGAAAUCUUCCUCUUUCAUCAGCUUGCCUGCACGGGUUCUCUUUCAAUGGAGUAUUGACGCCUUUGCGGUUUGAACCCUCUCCAUAAGACUCAGCUGUGCUCUUCCGGCGCCUCUCAUUGUGCCCUGCCAAACGCCUACGGCAGCUCCUCUUAGUUUCAUCAAACUCCACUAGCUCGUGGAACCUGCAAAGGCUCGUAAUUAUAGAAUGGUGAAAGCAACUUAAACAGAACCAUAUACAUAGCAAGUCACUGGAAGAUGAGCAGAGAGAAGCCACAAUGAGCUGAAAUUGACUUCCAAGUAAAUUUUGGUAAAAACACCUCUUGUCGAAAGUAUCAUUACGUGGAAAAAUGCAUGGAAAGGGAAAACACAUAUUACUUGGCAAAAGCUCAUAUAUCUAACAAAAUCUCUUAAGCGGAAACAGCCUCUCCAUUAAUUUUCUGACAUUCCAUGAUGUUAGGAACAUCAAUUUUGAUCAUAUUAACCAGUCAGCUGAUUUUGUGUUCGUGACCAGCAGAAACUUGUCUCGAGUUAGAAACUUUCAAGCCUAAUUAGCACCAUUUCUUUUCAUACUGUUGAAGUAAAUUGUAUCAUUAACACUUGGACCAUUAUAUUCACAACCUACAUUUAUGUACCCUAACUCUGUCAAACCUUCUUUUGGGGAAUCCUGAUGAAAAUCCAAUAUUUGUCAUCCAACCAAAGAAGGUUGCAGAAAUUUUACCGUUCAAACGAUACUAAAUAAAUCCCACUCUUCCUUCUGUUUUUGAGCUCUACUAGCAAGUGAAAAAGGUUGAGAUUGUAUAUGGAUGAGUCUCCAGAGUAUUUGGAACUUGUAAAUCUAACACUUUACUGAGUUUUAGCUUCAGUCAAUUGCAUAUUUGCAUGGGUUAGGCAAUCUUCUUCACGCUGAGCUUACAUUGGCUAAUUCAGAUAACUACGCCCGACUUCAAAACUCAAACAAGUUUCUUUCAGGCCAGUAAUGUUACAAAUGCAAAAAACUUGCCACUAUUUUCUUAUGAAGAAGCUGCACAAGGGAAAAGAAAUUUUGUGUGUGAACAUAGCAUAUUUCUCCUCAAACCCCUUUAAUUGUCAAGUCGCAUGCUAUGUAUCCAUACUAGUAAAAGAAAAUACGUCCUACUGAAAGAAAGAUAGCUGAACAAAAACGCAUGAAACAGAAAUACCUGCUGCAUUGUUGACAAAACCUCUGCCUGAGGCCAGCAACAACCACAGCUGGUGACUUUGCAUGAACCUCGCAAACUUUGUGUCUCCUGUGGUACCUCUUAGCAUCAGUUAAAUUAGCUCCACACUUCUCCACUUGGCAGGAUGGUGGAGACGCUCCGCCACUACCAGUCCCUCUCUUCCCAUGCAUAACACCGGCUCCUUUCUUCUUUUCAUCAUCGGCUAAGCCAACACCGCCGCCACUCUCAUAUUCUUCCAUGUCAUCCUCCAACUCAUCCUCAAUCAGGAAAUCAUCUUUGUUGAUCAUUUUUUCUUUCAAACUGCUAUGCUUCCCUUCAAGAGUCCUAGCGUCCAUUAUUUUAGGGAGGAUAUCACACAAUUGAGGUAUUGUGUGGUAGCUAGCAAGGUGAGGAGUGGCUUUUGAAGUACUAAAAUGAAGGUCUGUAGGAGAGAGUGUAAAGUAAAAGGUGAAAAAAGUAGGGAGGACCACAAGCAACAUAUUCUUGUGUUUUUUUUUAUGUAUGGUGUCAGUUGACAAUGAAUGAAUGAUUAGAGUGUGGAAUUUGUUUGUUGUGAUUUGUUAUGACAGAUAAAUUUUCAGCUUAAUUGCUGUUAUUGGUGCUUGUAGUGAUAUUUUCAUUUGACACUACAUGUGUGUGGUUGACGCUCGAUUAUUAUCGCUUCCCUAGAUGUGAAAACGAAAUUAAAUGAUAUUAGCACACCUAUGCAAUCAUUGUUUAUUUAGAAAGGGCAUUCGCAGAGUAAGUCUGUGAGUUAGUAAACAAUUUGGUUUAAGCAUGAAGUUUUUGGUAAUAUAGCAGGUGUAUUUUAUGUCAAAUGAAUCACUUGACGUGUACAGGUUAAUCUUCUAGCUUUUUUUUCUAGACAUGAAAGAGUUAGGUAGGAAUCAGGAUUGAUGGUUUUGUCAAUGAAGAAGGAAGAAAAAAAGUUGGGUGAUUUCGAGUCAAAUCGACUGUUAUCAAAUUUAGAACAUGGGACGGCGGGAAGGAUAUAGUUUUCGAACAUAAUGCUAGCCUACAGCACAGAUUUGAUCACUUGAUUUCCCUGCUGAAGAAAUCAAAACACAGACGGACUGAAUUAUCCUCAACAAAGGGCCCCUUAAACCAUUACUUUCUGUUUUUUAUCACCAUUUUUCCGGAAUGCUUUCUUUACGCUUUAUCUUGACAUUAAUGGUAUGCUACAAAGCAAAUUUUCUGGUACUUAAAUGAGCAAGAGAGGCACUGGAUUGCACUCAAGUAAGCGAUGUUAGUGAAAAGAUUACAUCUAUGGCAGAGGCAUGAGAAGGACAUGUCAAAUUUUAGUGCACCCUUUAAUGUAAUGGUACAGAAUCAAUGCUCACACAAUAUUCUGCUCCUCUUGGUUGGACAAGCAGUGUACUGUAGCAGAGUACCCUAUGCUUCUUUUUUGUUGAAAUGGACUAAUAGAUUUACAGUCUUUUGUUCAUGCAAAGCUUUAUUCCUCUUAUCUUUUCUCCUCGUGUCUUUUUUACCUGAUGCAAGACUUACAGGUCCAUGUGCAGAUUGAUUAAUUCAAUAUUUAAGAUGAUUGUUGCAACUGAAUGCUGGCUUUCUAUCAAUAUGUUUUUUGCUGGGGUUGGCUUACGGUACAAGUCUAUGGGUCUUUUGUGUUAUAAAGUUCGGGACAUGGCUCAGUACACAAUGUACAUGCCAUGAUAGCUGGGAAGGCAAAACCUCAGUGGUGACAUGACCCAACACAAGUUUUCACGUGGCUCUUGUACCAAGCACAAAUGGAAUACUUUAGCAAAUGUCUAUGAAAAACAGAUAGACAGCUGAAAUCAUACAAGGCGUUAUAGCUCAUUAGUAAAGCUCAUGUUUGUACAUCUAAUAGUACAAGGUUAAGGGCUGGACUAAUUUUGUAGCAGUGAGAAGGGACCUUCGCUUAUAAGCAUCCUUCCUAUUCCUGCACUUAUCUUAUACGUGAUUGGCUGUUACCUAUCACAGAGGAACUCCAAGUUGAGUUCAGUAUUAAAGGCUCAUAGCACAAUCAUAAAGAAUAUAUGUGAAAGGCAAGAGUAUGGUGGUCAAAUCAUAAAGAAUUAAGCAUCCCUACAACCAAUCUUCUUGAACAUCUUGAUUUUCUGUAAUCUGCAAGGAAAAUGGCGGAUGGUAUCACAGAUAUUAACAUUUAGCAUGGGUGAGUAGCAUAGUAGUGUUCUUGCAGGUGGUGAAAGGAUAGGCCUCGAGUUCAAUUCACAUGAACGAAAAGGUCGUACUCCACUGCCAAUUACUUGCAGAGGAGUACGACCUUUAAUGAAAUUUAUGCUUAGGAUAGAUGACCAUCUUCAUAUGAUUAUUAUGUGAAAUAGAAGAAAAAAUUCUAGUCAUUGGAAUUCUAGAUAUUUAAAUAAAAAGUCUAUAGCUCAAAAUCCCAAUCAGCAAAACGCUGAAAAUCGACACAACGUUAACAGGCACAAAGGAACCUACUAGUUUAAGCAAAUUCACGGUAUGGCAAAAAUGAACUCUCAAAUAUCUCAAUCCAUUUCCACCCACAAGUGUGAUUCCAUGUUCUUAUGUCUACCUACCUUUCACCCCUCCACUCUUCCGCGUCUCUCUUUUCUUUUCUUUUCUUUACCUUUUAUGAUAACACAUUAAAGGAAAUGGCCUUUGCAUAUGAUUUUGACUUCCAUAAAGUGCCCGUUACUCUCAAUAUCGGAGUUGGAUAUUGGUCCUAUAUUCCUUCCAGAUUCUCUAAUUUGUUUGAGCUGGGAAUCACGAAGAUUAGAUCGUUGAUGAAGUAACAAAAAACAGAAUACAAAUGAAUGGAUCAUGACUUUGCUUUGGAAAAGAACAAUUCUUGUCUAUAAAGAGAACCAAACAGCUGUUUGAUAAGAUGUAGAUCUUUCGAGUAUGAGGUAGUGUUUGAUGUUGUGAUAACGAUUAUUUUUUAAAAUAAUUUUUGUUUAGAAUCAUUUUAAAAUAAUAUUUUUUAUUUUUAAAAUUUUAUUUUUAACAUUAAUACAUCAAAACAAUCUAAAUAUAUAUAAAAAAAUUUGAAACAAAUAUUUUUUUUUUUAAAUAGCACGGCCAAUUAUCAACUAGUUCUAAAAUACAAAAAUCUUGUAUGAUGUUGUUUUAAAAAAUUAUUUGGCGUAUCUAAAUUGUGCUAUAAUAUUGGUGAUGAUAAGUGAUCUAUAUUCCCUAUCUACAUUACCUAUCAUCUUCUUUGAUUCUUUAUUACCCUUCAAAAUGGAUUUAUAGGAAAUGAUGAGUGAAGUGCUGGAUUAUAUGGAUUGCCUAUCAUCUUUUCCAGGUCCUUUUUGCUUGCCCUGGAAAAUGCUUUCAAUGGCUUUGUUCCUGGAGUUGCUGUGUGUCACAUUUUACCAAUCCUUUUCACUUUGGAAUUUGUUUUGGCAAUUUAAUGGCCAAAGCAAGAGCGUAUCAGAUUCCAAGUCGGAUGUUUUUUUGUUCAACAAUGCAACUCGACAAAAUUUGGGCACUUUCUGUCGUGAAGAUAGAAUUCUAGUCUGAAAAUGUCCUGUAGUGUAGAGAGUGCGUGAGUUCACGGUUCGAAACUAUUUCAGCUUCAAGUUUUAGAAUCCUUUGUGGUUGUAUGAAGGAAAUGGACAAAGCUCCUUUGAAUACACAAAGGCUAAAAGUCUCAUUCUCCACAGAAUCACUGACAAGGCGUCAUGAUCAUUUGGGAACUGAUUAGCUGUGCACCAGCCUUCCCUGAUCAGCCUUUGCCUAGACCAUUUUAAGGUUCUCAUAUGUGAUAUGUUGCUGGUAUUUGUUUUGGUGAACCAAAGCUCAGCACACUACUUUUCAAGAUUGAGGGCUAAAACAAAAUUAUUGAAGCUCAUUUUAUCUCAAUUCAGAAACCCUACUGAAAAUAAAGAUAAACAUAAAAGACCCAGUACAGGUCUUAUCACAAAUCCAUUGUUUUCUAAUUAAGCCAGCGUGAUACAAACAUUGUAACAGACCAUAGUUAUUGCUACCAAAUGCAAGCAAACUUAAGAACCAAGUGCUUUCUCAAUCUGCUGUCACCUAUUCUUCUCAAAUCAUCAAUAUUUUUGUACUCUACUGUAUCAACAGCUGGUCCAUCAACUUAUGGACCUCAACAAACACUGGAUCUUCCACGUUAUUAUUGUUCUUGUCGUGGCUGUUAUGAUCAUGACUGUUACUAUCAUCAUUUCCACCACCUACUGUCUCUCUAACCUUUUGGUUAGCCUCUUUGGCUGCUUCCCGUGCACCAUCUAUUGUUUCCUUAGCCCCGUCCCCAAUCGUGUCUGCUACUUGUGUUGCUUUUCUAACCCCUUCUUUGGCAGUGUCAGCCACAAACUGUUUUGCUCCUACUCUUGCAUAUUCAUCAGGGUCUAGGCCUUGCCUAGUUCGAUAAUUUGUUGCACUAUAAGAUUUUCGUGGUGUCCUAUCUGGGCUAUUUGUUUCUCUUCUUGUCUCUGCUGCUACACUGGUACCCUGAAAAUUUAGCACAUAAUGGAAGGAAAAUAAAAGCGUUAUUAAUGGUCUAGCUUAGGAACCGACAAAUAGUCCCCAUCGUGGAAAUACAUGUAAUUCAAUGCUAGACAAGGUAGCCAUGCUUUUCAGUCUGAAGACAAACUAUAUGCUUUGUCUAAAUAUUUUAGGAAACAGAGAGAGAUCAAUGUAUAAAAAAGAGGAAUUAUAGCAUAGAGAUACUUGAGCUCGUUGAAAAGCAGUGGAGAAGUAAGCCCUGUUGGCAGACACAACACAACGAGGGUGAUCCUUGGAUGAAGCUCUAGAGAUGUUAAUGACGGCUCUUUUUGCCAAAAAUAGUGCUGCCAUAGUUCCCUUCUAGCUAGAUGUUUUGCUGCAGAAUGUUGAUUUCUUCGUACAUAAACAUAGCCUAAUAGUUAAAAGUAAAAUAAAGAACAAGUCGGUGUGGUGCGGCACAUGUAAAACUGAACACGUUUUGAGAGAAUUUGACAUGUUCCUUUGGGCAAAAGGAGGAUGAUCCAUGUUGAUGUGUCUUCUUUCUGAACCAUGAAUUCUGAAACUACCGAUGUGUAAAUUGUGUGUGCUAGCUAGCCAGUAUCAAAUCUUGGGAAACCGGAAUGAAUCUUAAUCUGUUCAUAAUACUCUCCCAUUUGUUCAAAACAAGUAUUCUUGAAAAUGAAAUAAUAGUGCUUCUCAAAAUAUACAUGGUUGAGCUUCACAAAGCUGGAAGAGAAGCAACAAGCAGAUCCAUUAUGAGAUGCAGUUGGAGUGGAAAGCUGCAAAGACCCCAUAUUCAAAUCUCAAGUUCUUACUUGACAAUCAUCUGGCUUUCUAGCAACUGUUAUGGAGACUCUGAAUCAAACAUGAAACCAUCUAGACAAACAGACAAAGCUGGAAGAGAAGCAACAAGCAGAUCCAUUAUGAGAUGCAGUUGGAGUGGAAAGCUGCAAAGACCCCAUAUCAUCUGGCUUUCUAGCAACUGUUAUGGAGACUCUGAAUCAAACAUGAAACCAUCUAGACAAACAGUGAAUGUGACUUGAGAACCAGAGAUGAAUACCCAAUAAGCACACCUUACUAAGUGUGCUAUCCAAAACAGCUGAUGCAUCUGAUCUGCAUUUACAAAGUUCAUCAAAUUCAUUGACGAAGCAGUGAAUGUCAUUUCAACACAAAUGUAAUACAAUUUUAUGUAUCUUGCAAAUGGCACCCAUCCCCACCAUGAAGGGUAUAUUAUGCUUAAGAUCGUGGUAAAAAACAAAUCAUGGUUUUGCCCCAGAGGUGGUGAAAAUAUCAUCACUUUGUCUGAUGAUACGUGCAGUAAAUCACAUCAUAGGCAAACCAUCUAUAAGAAUUUAUAUUAAAAAAUAUCUAUUUAUCUAGCAAAAAAAGUUCACAGAAGGAGGUUAAAGAAAACAAGCAUAAUAUUCUUCCAACAGGGCUAUGUAAUCAUGCAAGAAGAAACGACCGAGGAACGCACAUUCAAAUUCUGCAAAACCAUAAAUUCAAACCAAUGACUCAAAUCACAAUUAGUAAUGUCAUGAUACGUUCAACACACCAGAAAAUCAACAAUCAGUGCCUCAUAUUAAGGUAAUUUCAUUGCUGUUGCUCAUAGUAUAUCUAAACCCAUCACAGGCACAACAAAACUUUAGUAAGUUCUUAUUCACUCAAAGUUCUAAAUCACUUUGAUACCAAAAGGGAAAAACUUUGGACACAGUAAGUAAUUUAAAUCUUAAAAAAUGCCGUGUCAACACUAACUAGAGAAGCUGCAGGCAGAAGCAGACUUCAAUAAAUUACUUAAAUUGAAAUUCUAGAGCAAACCAUGCUAGCUCUAGAGCCACCAUAGGCACUGUUGAGGCUCAACAUCCAGCACAUACUAAUUUGUACAUUAAAUGGAAAUUCUUCUUCCUUUUAAUUGAAUUAAGAAUUUGACAUUGAGAAAGAACUCAUGCCAUCAUAAUAAAUAUGUCAAAUGAAACUAAAGCAAUGUAUUUAACUCUCUCAAAGAACACCAAUCAAGCAAUAAUGCAUAAUCUUGACAAAGAAUAAGAAGCCGUCCACAUUACCAAAACACUAAUUAAUUACCUCUCAUUAACCAUCAUAAAAAAAAUGAACUAAAAUAAAUAUACGGACACAGAAGAAGAUUGAAGAGCCUGUACAAAUGCAUCAGAUCUGAUGAUUCUUAUUUUGACAGCAUCAUCAUUCUCCAGAAAGGAGUGGCUGAUUGUUGGUCUUGUUUAUCAUCACUUGCAAUAUAAGCUCUAACAAAUUGAAAAAAAAAAAAUCAAUACUUUAACUAUCCCAAACUUGCUAGGGGGAAGAAAUAAUAUGAUUUGGAUUUUUUCAUGGAUAUAGAACAUGAUAGCAUAUAAAAAGUUAACAUCAUCAUAGGCACAACUAUAAUAGAAUAAAUGCAACAAAACCAAGACAAGGAAACAAUCUAUCAAAAGCAAGAAAAAAUUAUCAAAAUUAAGCAACCGAAUGCUUGCAAAAAAGCAUAGAAAGAUCAAAACUUUCAUAUACUGGGCAUUAGAGUAGCAAAACAACUUAAGCGAGUUGGUCAUGAACAUAUUGAAAGACCAAAAAGGAAAAGAAAACUGUGGAAGUAGAGGAAAACUCUAGGUUUUGUUAAAGACAAAAGCAGGAUGAUCCUUGCAUGCUGUCCGCUUGUUGCAACAAAAAUGUUUACUCCCUCGAACAGCUUUAGGCCCAUUUGUUUAGAAUUUUAGGUUUAAGGUCCAACACAAACAACUAGACCCUAGAAGAAACUAGUGACAAAAUAUCAGUUAGGAUAAGCUUGGCUCUGGUAAGAUUCAUAGUCUUUAGCUAUCUAGGCCUCUUGCUAGAGCCCAAUAUGACAUUACCCGUAUCCAAAUCGGAGUGCUUGUUUUCUUCGAGGUCUGAGGGUGAUGGAUCCACUGGCGUAAUCAGUCGUGUCUUAUCAACCACGACGACUUUUUGACACAAAAGUUGCUCAACAAGAAUUGAAUUUCCAUUUUCUGUCCAAUUGAAAUGCAUGCAUACUCGAAUGGACUGAAGUUUUUUGGAUUUUUAAAGUUUUUAAUAGGAAAAAUACAAUGUGCUGUUAUGAUACUCAACGUUUUUUAUGCAUGCAUGAGAUAUUAUAACAGGUAAGCUUGCCUUCUCAAGUAUCUGUACUGAUAAAAAAAAAAUCUUGACUUGUUCAAUCUUAUCCAAUUCAAUAUCAUGCCUCAUCGAAUUCCAUUUUCUUACCGAACAAACCUUUUGAAUAUCCUUACAUGAUGACACUAAGGAGCUCGAUUUUACAUUUGUUUCCACAUGUUUAAUCCGUGAUAGGACGCCCAAAGAAAAAGAAAAGGCAAAGGAAGAUAUGAGAAUAAAAACACCAAGGAAAGUUCGAUUUGGAAAUUUGCGUAGAAAAAGGGAGAGAUUUUCGGAGCUUCAAGCUCGAGGUAGAAAGAAAAAAGGUUACGAUCGAGGUGACAGAAAAAGAUGGAUACCGAACACUACUCAAUUAUUAAUCUCAAUCAAUCCAUGCACAUACAUCUGCGAAGGAUCCAAGACUUUGAAAAAUACAAAGAUUUCUUCUAUAUUUUAUUGUUAAAUUUUUAACCUGGCAAAUUAUAUCAAACCACUGUAUGACCCAAGAAAUCUCAUUCUGUUUUUUUUUUUAAUUAUUAUUAUUAGGCCUCCAUUUGGUGUCCAAAAUUCAAAUCCUUCCGGUUUAAGAUUAUUAGUGAGUUUCACAUCACCAAUAUCUGCUGCUUUUUUAGCUAGAAAAAGUUUCUUCAGCAGGCUAUGCUAGCAAAGUCAAAAAAGAGAGGUAGGUAACCUUGAGUAAUGGCAUUAUGGCACGUCAACCUAUCCUGUCAACGUGGACACCCAAGCAAGAAAAUCACGUAAAAGGUAUCUUUACGGUUGCAUUUUAAUAUUUUUAGGGUCUCUCUCAAUCAAGAAAAACCUUACCCAUGAUGUUUUUUAUGUAGGGAAGUGACAUAUAAUCCAAUCUUCUGUUUCACAAAAGGAUUUGCUACAGAGUGACCGCCUAGCUUUGCCUCUUAAAGCUUCUCUACUCAAGAAAAUGUGGAGGGAGGCUAAUCUAUCUUUCUGCAUAAAUGGCAUGUAGCUGUCUUUCGAAUGACAUGGGUGGAUGCCAAGAAAGUUUACGAGACUUGACAGUUGCAGACAUGAUGCAUAAACCAUGAACAAGUAAUGUAAAUAUCAGAAUAGUGGCUUGCUCAAGACGAGAGCAAGCAAGCCAAAACAAUAGCUAAAAGAUGGGCAGUCUCUGUAAUCUGCAGCAUAUCUAAUUUCUAAUAUCUAUAUAUUACAGUCAUUGGAUCAGUAGCCUGAUCCUUGCAUGCUUGAAGGUCAAGACCUUGGGGGGAUGAUUCAAAUUCUAAAAGAAACCUAGUAAAUUGAUUUACAUCAAUAUGUAAUACGUGUAGCACAAUGUGAAGGCUUUGAUCUUCCCAUGGUAAUAUAAUGGGGAACAAAAAGAAAACUGUACAAGGGCAAGGACGACGCAUUUUAUAAUAUGCUUAUUUAUAACAGAAUAAUACAAUAGAAACUUGGUCAAGAUUUCAACAUUAUAGAAACUUGGAAUAGAGUUUACUUUACAAGUAUACCUUCCCAUGUCCACCCCAACUGAAACUAAGAACCCUGAAACUAAGUGCAGUAUUAUUAUAGCUCAUUGUUGAGCAGCUUGGAAUCCAAUACCAUCAAGCCAUGAAACAACUUCUUCGAUAAGGGGUCUCCUCCUAGGAUCUUGGUCUAAGCAUCUGCAUGCAAUUUCGAGCAUUUCAAACAGCUGUUUCUGACGAUCUUUACCCCAAAUUGCUGAGUCUAUAAUCUCUGCCUCCCUUUUCUCGGACUUCAUCUGAAACAGCCAGGAAACCAAAUUUCUGCAGUUUUUUCCUUUGCAAACUUCCACGGGCCUUCUACCGGUAAGAAGUUCAAGAAGAACAACACCAAAACUGUAAACAUCACCCCUGCAUGUUGCCAUCAAUGUUUGGCUAUAUUCAGGAGGUAUAUAACCUAAUGUACCUACCAAAUCUGUUGUCACAUGAGUAUCGUAAGGACAAAGUAGCCUUGAGAGACCAAAAUCAGCCAAGUGAGCUUCAAAUUUCUCGUCUAGAAGUAUGUUGCUCGAUUUCACAUCUCGGUGAACUAUAUGUGGCUCGCAAACUUUGUGCAGAUAUGCUAACCCACAAGCUGCUCCUUGAGCUAUCUUGAGUCUCACCUCCCAUUUAAGUACUGAGCCGCCAUCAACAGAUUCAUGCAGCCAAUAAUCCAAGCUUCCAUUUUCCAUGUAAGAGUAAAUCAAUAAUCUGUCAUUACCAUGCCUACAAUAACCUUGAAGAGAAACAAGGUUUUUGUGUUGAGCCCUUGAGAGAGCUUCCACUUCAGCUUGAAAUUCUCGUUCCAUCUGACCACAAUCCCCAGAAAGCCUCUUGAUUGCAGCUUUUGUACCGUUGGGAAGGUUGGCUUUGUAAACCAGGCCGAAUCCACCACAACCAAUGAUGUUUGCUUGGUUGAAGUUAUUUGUUGAUUUCAACAAAUCUGGAACUGUGAGGUCUUUGCAAUCAGAAUUCUGAAAAAGCACCAACUUGGAAGACCUGAGAGCUUCAGAUAACCUGUGCGGAAGACUGACUUCCUCCUCCAAAUCACCAAUAGGAUCCCCCACAUUCCUCCUUGACAUCUUGUGCAAAACAACAGCGAGGACCAGCGCAAGCCCAACUACUAUAGUGAUUGUUAUGCUAAGAAUAUUGCCUCGACCAAAUCUACUACUGUCUGAACCAGAUGGGAUACCAGGCUUCAUCAUAUUAUUAAUGACAUUACAGGGAGAGACUAUUACCCCACAGAGUCCCGGAUUACCCUCAAAGCUUGAGCUAGGAAAGCUAUAGAACUGCCCUCCGCUGGGAAUUUGUCCCCUCAAGUGAUUAUUAGCCACACUAAACUUCGACAGGAAUGUCAGCUUCUCAAGCGAUGGGGGGAUUGACCCAUACAGAUUGUUGGAUGACAAAUCUAAAACUUCCAGGUUUUCCAUCUGAGAAAAGGAGCUAGGUAUGGUCCCCGUAAUGUUGUUCCUGCUCAAAUCAAAGACAUGGAGGUCUUGCAGCCUUCCAACUUCAGGUGGAAUUGUCCCAGUUAUUCUAUUGUUGCUCAACAAUAUUGAAGGAGGGAAACUUGAGGCUUGGUUGUACUGCAAACCACUAGCACUCUGGUUUCGCUUUACAUAUAGAGGAAUACCAGAAGAGGCAGUUAGAUGGGGUGAACUGCUGUUUGCGAGGCUCUUUAGCUGAGUCAAACUUAGGGGGAUCUCUCCAGUUAGGGAGUUAUUUGAGAAGUCCAGGUAAAACAAAUUCUCCAUCUGGCCAAUCCAAGAAGGAAUACUUCCAUCCAGAUGAUUCCAAGACAAAUCAAGAACUUCUAACUUCCUGCAUCUCAACAGCCAAACUGGGAUUUGGCCUUUGAGAGCACAAUUUCCAAAUGCUAAGACCAUUAAAUUCCGGAAACCACUUACAUUUCUGGGAAUUUCCUCACCAACGAAGUUCUUUGUGAGGAUAAGAGUGGAGAGAUUUUGGCAUUGCUGCAGUACUGUAAGUGCCCCAGAUAAGUCCACAAAACUAUUGUUGGACAAUGAGAGAAACAAAAGUGAUGAGAGAUUUGCGAAACUCUCGGGGAUUUUUCCGGUUAAUUCAUUCUUAACCAGGCUCAAGAUCUUCAAUUCGCGGCAAACAGAUAGAGAAUUUGGAAGUGGCCCAGAAAGGUGAUUAGAGGCAAGAUCAAGUGUACAAAGACUAGGCAUUCCACUGAAAUUAAGAUCAAUUGGACCAGUUAAAGAAUUGUUUCUAAGGUCAAGAAUGUGAAGCUUUGAGCAGAAUGACAGUGUUGAAGGCAAAGGUCCAGACAACAUAUUUGAAUGGGCAACAAAUUGUUCUAGAUAUGUAAGGUUGACAAAUGCAUUUGGUAUAUGGCCUGAAAACUGGUUUCCAUAAAUAACCAGGUUUUUAAGAUUAAAGAGCUUACUCACUUCCUUGCUUAACUGGCCAGAGAAAUUGUUGUUGGGGAUAGAGAAGUGCUGCAAAGCUGACAUUGAGUAUAAAAAAUCAGGGAGAGAGCCUGAAAGUGAAUUGGAGUCCAAAUGCAAUUGUUGAAGAGAUCUGCUGCAAUUGAACAAGCCUUCAAGAUCGCCCACGAGAUGGUUCGCAGAUAAAUCAAGAAUCUGAAUCCCUUCAGAGGAGCUGCAAAUUUGAGAACUGAUUCGACCAGUGAACGAAUUGUUGCUCAUGUUGAACGCAACAAGAUUUGGGUAUCCUCCAAGCUCAAGCAAGUCUUCCUUGAACAGAUUGCUGGAAAUGUUCAGUGUCCGAAUGGAUAACAAACGAGAAAGCACCCCUGAAACUUGUCCUGAUAGCAAGUUAUGGCUCAAAUCAAGAUCCUCCAACUGCUUCAAGCUCGAGAGCUCCGAAGGCAAUCCACCACUGAGUUGAUUGAAAGAGAGAUUAACUGAUUUCAGCUGAUCUAAGCGGCCCAAGGAGGGCGGAAUUAACCCUUGAAGACCCAUUUUGGACAGAAUCAGCAUGGUAACCCUGCUGUGAAUUGAGCCAUUGAUAUUACUUCGACAUACAACCCCUUCCCAUUGACAGCAGUCAGUCUUGCUGGACCAUGAUGUUAUGAUGGACCCAUUCGUGAGCUUUCCUGCAAAUUCCUUCAGGGCCCGCAUAUCAUUUGGAUCACAGGAUUGAGUUGUGGUUUUGAGACCCCAAGAUGAACAAAGAAAGCAAGCAAAGAACACCGAUCUGAGGAAAGUCAUUGGAGCAGUCUCCACCAUCGCCAUUACUGAAAUCAAAGCUUAGCCCCAGCUCAAAUCAAGGCAAAGACUCCCGCAUUGAAGUUGAUAUUUCUUGGGCAUUAACUGCUUUUCAAGAGAAGAAGCCCAAUUGAAGGAACUCGCAUGUCAAAUCUCCAGCCAAAAAAAAAAAAAGCAGCUCGCAAGUUCCAAAUUGCAAAUGAAGCAACAAAAGGAAGUGAAAUUAAGAGAUAUCACCAAUCCCCACUUGAAAUCAAAUCCCUAUAACUUUAAGAAACCAAGACCAUAGUGAUGCCCUUUAGAGAAAAGAAAGGAAAAUAAAACAAGCACCCCAAAUGAACAAACUUCAAAUGCAAAACACCUCAGGAACCACAAAACAAGGACCGAGUUAACAACUUGAAAGCGAAGCAAUAAUUCACACCACUAAACAAGAAAAAAAAAUAAGAUUAUAUAUAGAUAGGUGAAGCCAGCCAAACAAACUGAGAUCUCUUGACCCCACUUGAAACCUAAACCCUUCACAAAAAAAAUAAAAAAAUAUAUAUUCAACUAAUCCCCAAAACCCUAUACUGUUCAACAACCACUACUGUGAGAGCAAGAAAGUCAUCCAAAUGAAGCAACUUCAAACACACAUCCCAAAGCACCUACAAGCCAACAAAAAGCAACAUUUAGCAAAUUAAGCAACAAUUAACAACUAAGCCAGAUCCCAAGAUCAAAGCUUUGAAGAAGAGUUGAUAAGAUUAUUGAAGAAAGAAAGAAAGAAACUUUAGCGAGUCUGGAGUCAUAUAAGAAGAACCCACCUCAAGGGUUCCAACGAUGCAUUAAGACAUCACUUGCAAGUGAAAUAGAAGUACCAUGUCAAUACAGCAGCCCACAGUUGCCAACUUUUCAAGAAAUAGGUUCGUUCCCAUUUCAAAAACCUCUCUCUCUCUCUCUCUCUCUCUCUCUGAAAACGUAAAAAAGCAAUUAAGGAAAGCAACAGGUGACAGAAUCUAGAGAAAGAAAAAGAUAUCGAAGGGACAGGAAAUACAGAAGCGAAUCUAUAGUUUCUUGGACAAAGAAAACAACAAAAUACACACUCAAACUUGUGAGAGAUAAUAGUAUGUGUUUAUGACUUGAAAUGAAGACACAAGGGCUGACUUUUAGAGGAUUAAUGAUUUUAUUUCAUCACUUUACUUUUGUUUUGUUUCACUUGCCAGUUAACGAGCCACUCGGGCUUCUUCUCUCUACGUAUCUCUUACCUAAUAUUUGUCCCUUGCUGAGAAAAAACUGAGAAUAUUUGGUGGAGAAAUUUGAUUGCUUAGAGAAUGAGGUUCGCUUGCCUUCGAGGGAGGAUCGAUUAUAGGGAUUUGGAAGUCCAAGCUCAAUGUUUGAAAUAUGUGCGUGGAAGAAGACCACCAUGUCUCUCAAUCAAUCUCUGCAAAAUUAUUAAAAAAUAAAAAAAACUUCAAAUAUUUUUAAAAUACAAAAAGCAUCUUUCACGUAAUUAUAUUUUAAAUCCUUGAUUUUGCAGGAACUAUAAUAAUAUAAUUUUAUUUACAAUUAAUUUUUUUAUUUAUUUUACAUAUAAGAAUUUAUUUUACAGUAAUCUUGAUCAAAUUUAUAUUUUAAAAUUAUAACUAAAAAUAUUUUUAUAAAUCUGAUUUUUUUAAAUUGUGAUAGCAAAGUUAAACAAAGUCAUUGUGGCGUAAAGGGACGCGCUCUAAGGGUUGAUGGGGGGAACAAACAAAGAAAUAUGGAAAAGGGAGUAAAGGAAGUCAAACUGUCAGAGAUAAUAGGACACGAGAAUUGACUGGUUGUAGCCGGUGGAUGGAGCCCACCAUGUUUGAUAUAUAAAUUGAUUUGAAAAUACAUUUUAUCGUAAAAUUAAAAAAAAUUAAAAAUUACACGUGACAAUUUAAGCAAAGUCGAUAUAGCUAGGUCAUUUUCUAAGUGCGUGAUUACAUGUGACAAUUUUAAGCAAAGUCGAUAUAACGAGGUCAUUUUCUAAGAUCAUGUUUAGUAUUUUUAUUAUUGUUUUAUUUUAAAAAAAUAUUAAAUUAAUAUUUUUUUAUAAUUAUAAUGUGUUGAUAUAAAAAAUAAAAAAUAAAAAAAUAUAUUUAAUUUAUUUUUAAGCAAAAAAUACUUUUGAAAAGCAUCAUGUAUUACGAGUUGUUUAGCAUUGUAGUAAUGAUUGUUUUUCAAAAGUAUAUUUUGUUUAUAAAUGCAUUAAAAUAGUAUUUUUAUAUAAUUAUGAUAUGUUAAGCGAAAAAUAUUUUUGAAAAGCAUCAUGUACCGCGAGUUGUUUGCAUUGUAGCAAUUAUUGUUUUUCAAAAGUAUAUUUCGCUUAGAAAUGUAUUGAAAUAGUAUUUUUAUAUAAUUAUGAUAUGUUAAUAUAGAAAAUUAAAAAUUAAAAAAAAAUAUUUAAUUUAUUUUCAAACAAAAAAUACUUUUGAAAAGCAUCAUAUACUAUGAGUUGUUUGGCAUUAUAGUAGUGGUUGUUGUUUUUUCGCUUGAAAAUGCAUCAAAAUAAUAUUAUUAUUUUUUUAAAAUUAAUUUUUGAUAUUAGCACGCCAAAACGAUAUAAAAACACUAAAAAAUAAAACAAAAAGGUUUUCCAACCACUAUUACAAACGAGAACGCAUUAAGAAAUAGAACAAGAAGAGCUAUUCUAAGUGGAAACAAAUUGUAAUAAAAAAUAUUACUUCAAAAGUAUAGCUAUAUGGUUGAUGUUUUUUAUGAUAUUUUGGCUGCUUUACUGUAUGGGUCCUCCUUCUUUUUUCUUUUUUUUUUUAUUUUUUUUUUUAUUUUUUUAUUUUUUUGAGGAAGAUCAUGAGUGAUGAUGGAAUCUUCCUAAGUAAGCUUGCAGAAACCGAGACAUUUCAUGGUCCUCAAUUGAUGGUAUUGUGCACGAUUUCUCACCAAUGAUGAUAGCCAUUUUCACACCUUUUUUCUAAUGACCAAUUGAGAGCUGACACUGCUCGUAAAAGGGCAAAGGCUGAAAGGAUAGUCCACUUCCAAUCAUUUCCUUCCCUUUUUCUCUGUUUCCUCCAUCAUUCACCUGCCUGGGCUGAAAAUAAAAUGCCGAUGGUUAAGAUGGGCCUGUCUUUCCAAAAACAAAAUUAAUAUGGGCCUAAUUGUGUCCAAAGUACUGACUGUGCUGGGUCAUGGGCCUCUACUCCUUUUCUGGGCUUGGAACGGAGGAUGUUUCACUAAUGGAAACGGAAAUGAUGAUUACAAAGCCCAUACGACGGAUGCAGCUCUCCCCCUUGAACAGCAUUUCACCGUAGAGCAAGGCGUUGGGAGCACAGAUUCCGUCUCUUUACACGCACCAAUAACUCCCCCGAAUACAGAAAAAUCAAAGUAAAUUCCACUUUAAAAUAUCAUUGCCGUCUUUGAUUUAUUAAACUUUUUCAACUAUUAAUAACCUCAUAAAAAUAAAUAAAUCUCGCGGUUGCAUCUAGAUAGGAAUAUUUUACCGAGGGACGUUUUAAUAUAAAAUAUAUUUUAUAUUUUAUUGAAGCAUGAAAUUAAAAAUAAAAAUUAAUUUAAUAAAAAGAUUUAAAAAAUAAUUAAAAGAAUGAGAAUCAAAAUUAAUAUACGGAAUAAAAAUAAUUUUUUUAUUGAAAUGUGAAAUUGAAAAGAAAAAUAAUUUUAACAAAAGAAAAUAAUCAAAAUAACGAGGAUCAAGCUGGUAAAAAUAAUAUGACAUAAAUUUGGAUUGAAUGAUAAAAUUUUUUUAAAAAAUUAAAGAUCAAAAGAUUAAGGACCAGAUUAAAAAUAAUAGUAUAUGACCAAUUGAGAUAAAAUGAUGAAAUUGAAAACAAAUAAGAUUUUUACAAAAGAGCCAAGAACAAAAUUUAGAAGUAAAAAGAGUAGGGAUUGAACUUGAAAUACCAACAACAAAGAGGACUACGCCGUUAUUUUAGGAGGAGGAGAGAGUAAAGAAUAAGAAAAAAAAAGCAUCACCGGCUAUAAACCAGUCAUCCAACAUUGACACACGCCGCCUCAAAAAUAAGAGGACGCAGCAGUGCUUCUAACAACACGACAAAAAAGCUUUUUUAGCGGGCAGGAGGCUAUGCACACACCAAUUGCUUUUUAUUUUUUCCUUGUUCUCUUUCUUUACUAAAAGACCAAAUUGCCCCUCAACUUACCUGAUAAUAACAAAAAAAUCUUUGUAAAUAGACCAAAAGAAGGCAUUUUAGUUGUUUCACUGUUUUUUUUUUAUUUUCUUUGUCUGGUCAAAUAUCAAAAUGUCCCUUCAUCUAAUAUGAUAAUUACAUAAAACCAUUGUGAAGAUACAAAAUUGCCCUUUAACUCUAGUUUUAAUUAUUUUUCAUUUCAAUGGUAUUUUAGUUGUUUCACUGUGCAAUUAAAAUGAAAAAUGACUUAUUUGUCUCUUAUCAAUUUUGUAAUGACUAACGGGUGUUUUGAAAAGACUUCAAUACUCAUAAUAGCUAGUGUUAGAUUUUUUUAUGCGAGGGGCAAAACUGUAAAAACACUAUUUUAGUAAAAAAUGUUUUCAUCCACAUGAUUUAAGUGUUUUCAAAAAAUAUUUUGGUUUUGUUGAUUAAAAAUAAUGGAAAAUAACUCCAUAUGUGGUUAUAUUUUUAGAAUGUGUCUAAUUUAUCCUUACAUGUAUAAUUGCAUUUAAUCUAAUAUUAAAAAGUUGGUGGGGCUAUAAUUUAUUAUUUCAUUAGUAUGUGUUUGAUUAGUGCCCCAAGAUAGAUAUAAAAGAUACAUAAAUGUAUUUGUUAAAGAAAGAAAGACAAAUACAUAAAAUAAAUAUGUUUCUUAAACAAUUUAGGAGUGAGUUUCUAUACUUUUAAAAUAAAAAGUACAGAGAGAUAUGUCUUAAUUAUCUUUUUUUUUUUAUCCCGAGACAAUAAUUAAACACUACUUUAGAUUUUUUUUCAUCGUAACUAUACAUCACUUGACUUGCACAUGACCAAGUUUAGAUUUUAUAUGUCUAAAAUAACCUCUUAUUAAAAGACAUAUAGCAAAAAAAGAAAGUUUGAGAUUUUAAUUAGGGUUUGAUAAAUUGAUAUUUAAUAUAUAGUUUUCAUAAGUUGUAUAAUAAAAAAAAUUCUCCUAAGAAAGUUCCUGUUCAUUGAGACUUAUAUUACUAUUCAUUGUAAUAGUGUCAUUAUGAAAUUAUCAUUGAACAAAAAAAACCUUUGAACUAGGUUGUCAUAACCCAAGUUUAGAUCCCCAAAAUUAUUUUAUAAAAAAUACAUAUUAUUUUAUUCAAAAAUAGAAAAAAAUUAGAAAUUCAAAAUCCAAAAAUAUUUUUGAGACACGAGUAAAUAAGCCUUUGAGCUGCAAUAGAUCAAAAUACUAAAAGAAUAGUCAGGAAAGGAUAUUUUGACAAGAUGGGAUAAAGAAAUACUUAAUAAAAAGAAAAUGGAGGUUGAAAUCCAAAUUUGACCAAAAUUAGAAGAAUUAAUUAAAUUUAAGAAAAUAGUUAAACUUUUAAUAGGUUUAAUUGACUUAUCUAAGGAUUUAAUUGAAGAAAAAUUAAGUUUAAAAGUCAAUUGGAUAAAAAUUGAAAGAAUUAAUUAAGUUUAAGGACUUAAUUAAACUUCUAAUGGUUUUUGUAAAUUUAAUCAAGGAAUUGAAGAAAAAUCAAGUUUGGAGACCAAUUCGAGUAAAUCUGUAUUAAUUGGAAGAAAAGAACUCAAUUAAGACUUUGAAUAGCCAAAUUGGUGCGAUGAGGAAUUUAAUUGAAAUAAAUUUAAAGGUUGAAGGUUGAUUUAAGGCCAAAACGAAGAAUCCUAAAACCAAGAACCAAGAUGAAAGAUGUGCGUGCAUGCAAGACUCAAAUUGAUUAAAUCAUGAGUCAAUUUGAAACAAAUUAAAAGUUUGACGAGAAAUAGAGGUCAUAUUGUAUAAUCUAGAAACUAAUGCCUAAUUUGUAAAAGGCAUGAGAAUAAAAUUAUCUCAAUCAAUGUUUCCAUUGAUGUAGUUGCAGAAAUUGAGAAGUUUUUUUGUCAAUUAAGAGUGCAUAAGCUAAAAUUAGAAGAACAUGUCCCAACACAAAUAAACCGAGAAAAACUUUCUCUACAAAUAUCAAAUAUCCUUAUCAAACAUUUGUAUCUCAUUUGACACAAUAAACUUGACAACAUUUUGUCCCUAAUCAGCAUUUCCUGUAUUAGUAAAUUCAAGAUGAUAGAUGGUUAAUCUUCCAAUCAAUGAUUAUAGAGUUUUGGACCUUCAAAUCAAGUGCUGUUUAUUUCCAAUGAUAGAUAUACAUACCAUCUACAAGAUAUAUGCCUAUCAAUGAUUUUUUGAUGUCUCAAUCUCCACAAUAAUCUUGAUAAAAUACCUAACUCUAUCAUCUAUGACUGAAGAAUAAAUUCACCAUGAUAGAAAAGACUUCAAUGAUGUUUUCUCGUGUAAGCUAUUUUAUAAGUGUUAAACACUAUCAUAAGACCUACCUCAGCAUGGUAGGUCAACCUAGCAACUCAGAACCAAACCCAAGUCACUGACUCAAAUAGCUAAAAAAACAAGUGAGGCAUUCAAAUUAAAAAAAUAGUAAAAAAUUAAGUACCAAAUAAAGAGUUUUCUCAUAUGAGAUUCUUUGCACUAAUUUACUAUGAUGAGAUUUUAUGAGGGAAACAUACCAAGAUACACAUUAUUUUCUAAUGAUAUAAAUUUAUACAAAGAUCAAUCAAUCAUAACCUUUUGUUCCUAUUUAUAUAUAUUUUGGUGCAUGGAUUCCAACCUUAGUUUUGGUUAUAUAUUAAAACUAUCUAGUAUAAUUCCAUGUGAACAUUUUUGUUUUGUUUUGUUUUGUUAUUUUCUAUUUACUUAAACCAGUAUUGUUUGUCAUUCCAUAUUAAAGUUAUUAUUUAUUAUGUGUAUGGCUAUUAUUUUUUUAUGAAAAUAAUUGAUUGAUGAGUAUAUUAAAGAAAAAGUUUAUAAGUGGGUAUGCUUGAUAAAUUUUAUAAUAAAUGCAAUUCGUUUGAUCACUCUUUAAAGAUAAAAGAGAUGAAGACAACAAAAAUAGAAGAGAGACAAGAUAGAAGUAAAAAACAAAAAAAAUAAUUAUAUUUGGAAGUGAUGUAUAAGAUAAAAUGACCGUUUCUGUAUUCUAUUUGUUUGAUGGUGAAAAAGAUAUAAAGAAAUUAUUUUAUAUUACUGUCAAACUUAUAUAUUUUUUUAAAAAAUAGAUAUUAUUUUAUUUUAUAUUGAGUGUUCAAACUAACAUAUUACCAAUAUGAAUUUAAAAAGAAAUAGAAAAGUGAUUGACUCGAUUUGAACAGAUAAAAACCCAGGUUGAUCCACAAUCAAUGGUAAAACCUGUGUAAGAAAUUUAUUAACUUAAAAACUUAUAAUUUUAGAAUAAAAAGUUAUUUAUAAUGAUAUUUUAAAGAUAAGAAAUAAAAAACUGUUAUAUUUAGAAACAUGUAUUCCUUAUCUUUUAUCUUAAAAAUAUAAGAAUUAUUUUAAAAAUAAAUAUAUUUUUAUCUUUAAUUUUUUAUAUAUCAGUAAAGUAAUCAUUUUUCUAUGAAAAAGAAGAAGAAGCUAGGUUCCGCAAUUCAGCGCCGUCAUUAAUAGAUAGAUCUUUCAUUUUUGUAAACAGAUAUGUCUGAUGCAUAAAAAGAAGAAGAAAAUCAUCCUAAGCCAUCCGAUUAGCUUGGUUUAGCACCGGUUGAGAUUCGAUGAAGAAGACACCUCUCGAACUUGUCUCUAUGCCAACUUUUUAGAGAACAGAUUUGGAGACCCUACUUUAUCAACGGUAUCAAGAGCGGAGCGACCAAAACCAUUGAUCAUUGAGGAGAGUGAAACAAACAUGACGGAGAUCAAGGCUGUAGGCGUGGUGGGCAGUGGCCAAAUGGGCUCUGGUAUAGCCCAACUCGCCGCCGUACACGGGCUCGAUGUGUGGCUGCUUGACACGGAUCCCGCUGCUCUCUCUAGAGCCACAAAGUCUAUCACCUCUAACAUCCACCGUCUCAUCUCCAAAGGCCAACUCUCCCAGGUAAUAAAUCUCUGAAGUUCCAAAAUCUCUUUUUAAUAAACUUUCAUAAAUUAAAAUUAGAUAUAUAAAUACCAUUAUGAAAAUCGAAAUGUUGAGAAGUUUUGUUGAUGAUGCAAAUCUGAGAAGUGUAGAGUUAGAGAAUAAUUUGUUCACAUUUAAAAUCAUAAAAGAACCUAAAAAACAAGAAACAGCAUAAAAAUGAAGUAGAAACGUUCAGUAGAUUUUUGUUUUUCAGCAAGUAUAUUUCACAAUUUCAUAUACUAAAUAUUUUUCAGCCAUGCUUUUGAAUGUAUGAUAUAUCCAACACCUUAUCCUAAAAUAAAGAAAAAUACACAAAAUUAAAAUGAUCAUGAGACAAUAUUCAGUAGCAUGUAUUACACGUUUGACAACUCGUUCUGAUAAUUAGCCAGUGAUGAAACUACCAGUUCAAGUUAGAGCACUCUGCUGGAUUACUCCUUGACCAUAAUAAAUGUAAUUGGUAAUAAGCUUAAAAGAGUUCCUUAGUGGCUAAAGUUGCAUUAUUAAUGAUUGCUUGAUUCAACUAAAUCAACUAGUUGUUCUACAUUACUUCUGGGCAAUGCAUUAUGAUGACAAUUUUCCCUGUGAGUUUAGACCACUUGCUUCUUUAAUGCUUCAUCAGCCUUCAAAGAAAGGGGGGCAUCUCCAAUAUUUUGACAUGGAAGAUGGUGAGAUUGAGCAGGUCCAAGCCAGACCCUAAACCGAACAAAAUGUCCGGUUGAAUAAUAAGUUCAUGAGUUGGAUUUUAGGCGUUGCUACGGGCUACUUCUGGAAACGCGCGCUGCUUUUAAUUGUGAACAAUUAAAAGAAAAGAAAAAGCGCUUUCUAAGCAUGCAAUCAAGAGCUAAUAGCAUUAAAAGAUAUAUGAUUUGGCUUUCAAGUAACAGAUAAGCAACAUGCUAAAAACUUGUUUAAACUGUCUCGAAUCUUAUAUAAAAAUCAAAUUGUAAAAUAUAAAGGGAUAUCAAUCUAACAUGGACAUUGUUUGAGCAACUCAAAAUAAAAAAUGGCAUGAUGGAAAAAAAGAGUAUGAAAGCCUAACUUUUGAGUGAGAAGUGGUCCCACCAACUGUUAGCAAGUAAAGAGUAACAAAUGUUUGUCAAUUCCUUGUUACUGCAAGGACUUGGAUAACUUAAGUGUCUGCAAAAACAUUUUAUGUAUCCAUCUAUGUGUUAGGACCCAAUAUAUAAAAUGAAAUUGAUACAUACCUCAAACACGUCUUAAAAAGUAAAUUUUCCCCCCAAGAGAAAGCAACCUAAGAGCACCUAAAAACUUUAAACUUUGUUGGGCAAGCAUUGGCCAAAUAGUUUCUUCCACCAAAGUUUGCAUAUAUAUAUAUAUAUAUAUAUAUAUAUAUAUAUAUAUAUAUAUAUAAAACUCCUAAAUAUAAAUUGAAAAACUUAUGCACGCAUCUAAUUAAACAACUUAAUAACUAUUGUGUAAAGUAAUGAAAAAAAAAAUCAAGAUAUCUAACAUCGCAACACGGGUAAUUUACCUGGUUAUGUGUAAUGAAUUCCUUUAUCAAAAUAAAUUUGUAAUAGAAAAACAAAUUAAAUAUGUAAUAGAAACCAACACAAAAUUUAUAAAAAAAACAAUGCAAGGCUGCCCAUAACACAUAAAAUUUAUUGAACAAUAAAAAAAAAAACAAUGCAAGGUUGCACAUAUGAAAAAUCUUAUAAAAAAAUCAAUAUUAAAAAAAAUUAAUCUAUAUAAAAUUAAGAAAAAACCACAUAUAAAUCAUACCUAUCUCUCUAAAAAUUAAACACAUUCAAUAUUAUUUAAAAAUAAUCACAAUCUAAUUAAAAUAGAAACCAAAAAUUUAUUUGAAAAAAUAUACACAAACAAUGCAUUAUUUUUUAAAAAACUAAAAAUUAAAAAAAAAGAAUAAUAAAAAAAACAACCAGGCUAGGUGCUGCUAGGCCUGGUAAGCCAACCCAAUAAAGCAACAGUCCGCACGUGGGCUUUUAUUUUUUAAAAAAAGUGUAAUGGGGCCGACGACGCGUUGUCCGCCCCAAAUAGUUAAAAAAAAAAAAGACGCGCUUGGGAAGCCUAGAAUCCAGCCACUGUGGUGCUGAAAAAAUGGGGUCCUUCAUUUUUUCAUCCAAAAUCUCAUUUUCAACCCAUUUUUGACCAAAAACAUCUAGAAAACACCCUAGAGACCUUAAACCAAUCCAUGGCCACCAAAAAGCCAACAAACCGCCUUAAAACCCGAAAUCCACUUAAAAAAAAAAUUCUUUCCGAGCUCAGAUUUGUUGUUUUAGGUGUUGUCGAGGUAAAAAAACACCUGAAUAUAACCCCCCUCAUCAUAUGAAAUCUUUUGACAUAAAAAUCAACCGUUUUGGUGACUAUAAUCUUCCCCAACGACUACUUUUUCUUUUUAGGCUGGAAUCCCACGACUCUCUCUCUCUCUCCUCCCAACAGAAAAAGACUGAAAAUAUAGGAAAAUGAAGUUAGGUACCAAAAUAUAGUCUUGAAAUUCAAGGGACUGAUUACCUAAUAUCUAAAAAAUGUAGGAGUUUAAAAUGAAUGUUGCAACAAAACUUUCAACCUGCCCCCCAAUGUUAUCCGAAAGUUUUGCUUUAGUCUCUUAGCUUUCAAUUCAAUCUUUCUUUCUUAAAAAAAUUAUGCAAUUAGGGGUUAAUUUGGGCUAAAAAUGCUAAAAUCAUGCAAAAUAAAAGUUUGAGAACCAAAGUGAAAAAUAUAAAAAAAAAUACAUUGCUCUAAUCCAAAUAUAAUCCACAGUGAAUUAGGAGAAAGUGCAGUGUUUUUUGCUACAGUAAAAUGCCGAUGCUUUUGUUGUAACGUCAUGCUGGAUUGCUGGUAGAGAUAUUGACAAAGAAAGAAAUUUAUUUGUGUAAACUGAUAUAUAUUCUAACCUCAAAGGGUUUUUUUUAACUCCACUUGACAGGCUGCAGGUAACGAUGCAUUGGGCCAUUUACGGUGUAGCUCAAAUUUAGAAGAGCUGCGUAUGGCAGAUAUUGUCAUUGAAGCUAUCGUGGAAUCCGAAGAUGCGAAGAAAACAUUAUUCCUUGAACUAGAUAGGAUAGCAAAAAGUUCUGCCAUUUUGGCAUCCAAUACAAGUUCCAUCUCCAUUACCCGCCUAGCAUCUGCGACUAGCAGGCCACGCCAGGUUAUACUCAGAAUAUGUUUCUUGUUUUUAGCCAAUGCUAAGGAUAUCUAUUAACAACACUUGCACGAAUCAAAAUGAAGUUCAACUUUAGAUCAUGUAUAUUGCGUUGGUUUUCACAGAACAGGAUUCUGACUGGAUAAAAAAGUAUCAUCUGCAGGUGAUUGGCAUGCAUUUCAUGAAUCCUCCUCCUAUAAUGAAACUGGUUGAGAUUGUACGCGGAGCAGACACAUCAGACAAUACAUUUUAUGCAACCAAGGCAUUGGCAGAGAGGUGACCGGAAUACCUCCUUCUAUGAAACAAUAGCACCUUUCAUUCAUGUUAUGUCCUCCCCUCAACAUUCUCCUGCCAAAUCCAUUUAAAUAAUUAUCUUCUUCAUUUUGAAUUUGCUUUGGAAGUAAAUGCAAACCAGGUCCCCUUUCGCCCUUCCCUCCACCCUGCACGUGCCUUUUUUGUAAUGUUGAGCAGUGAUCUAACAUUUAUUUUUGUCUCAAUCGCCAUUAACUCUGCUGCAGGUUUGGCAAGACAGUGAUAUGCUCUCAAGAUUUUUCAGGUUUCGUUGUAAACCGGAUCUUAAUGCCAAUGAUAAAUGAAGCAUUUUAUGCUCUCUAUACAGGAGUGGCAACAAAGGAGGAUAUUGAUACAGGAAUGAAGUUAGGAACGAACCACCCAAUGGGUCCUUUACAACUUGCAGAUUUCAUUGGACUGGAUGUAUGCCUGUCGAUAAUGAAAGUUCUUCAGACUGGCUUAGGGGACAAUAAAUAUGCUCCAUGUCCGCUUCUUGUGCAGUUUGUUGAUGCAGGUCGUCUUGGACGAAAACGUGGUAUUGGUGUCUAUGACUAUCGUGCAGCUGAGCAAGUAAAACGCUCUGCUCGACUUUGAACUCACUGAAAAUUGUGAAUUAUGAGGCUCGCACUGUAAUGCCUUUGUAAUUAAGUUUGGGUUUGGUACUGUGGUUUAUAAUGUUUUUUAAAUGUGAUUCUUUUUAUGCUUGAAAAUAUAUAUGAAAAUAUUGUUUUUAUAUUUUUUUUUGUUUUUAACAUCAAAAUAUAUAUGAAUUAUGUUUUUUCAAAAGAUAUAUUUGUGAUACGCAUCAAACAAACAGAAGGGACUGUACUCACUGUUUAACAAAUCAUUGUUUCUUUUGUAAAUAAAAAGUAGCUUUCACAAAAAGGGGGUGAGAUACCCCAAAAAGAGGAAUAUUGUGCUUAAAGUAAUAAAGCAGAGGAUAAAAGUGUGAGAUUAAUAAUGUUAUCCCAAAAUUCGAAUGAUUAGAAUGUGAUGUACCAUGUCUUGAUUAUUUUUACUUGCAAUUACCCUGCUUUGUAUACAGUUCCAUGUGAUGAAUUACUGAAGUAGCAUUACAGAGUUCUAAUAAUGAUGCCAGUAAAACCACUAAUGUUCAUCAAGUUGAUCCAUGGUUAUUGUUUAUCCUUACUAAAGUUUUUUGUAAAAUAGGUAACUCGAAUUCUCACGAAAAUUGCUUGCUUGCCAUCCGUGUCACUUCAAGCAAUUUAAUGAAGGUUUGUUCAGUGGUUAAUCUUGGAACUUUGAUGUUGUGCUUCAAUUUGUGAAUGAGCAAUGCGAUCUCAGCAUGCAUGGAGGUCUUUAGAUUUCAAGAAUUUUUGUGUUUGCAGUAGUAAUCUGAUCCGAGACAGCAACUUGCGAGGGUCUGAUCUUUGAAGCUGGUGGCACAUGCAGACAUGAAAAACGCAUAAUGGAUUGAAAGUCACAUGCCUUUUCCAACUUCUUUUCCUUUCAUUGGUAGAGCAUUUGCAUGUGGCUAAACCCAAAAACAGACAGAAGAAGAACUGCUUUCCAGUUCAUAAUAGCCAUUAUACUUCGGUUGAUUAAGUUUCUAAAUUGUCCAUCAAGCAAAAUCAAGUAAAAACACUGGGAACAUGGCCAAAAUCUUGGUGUAUUACAUUUAUGCUGCUCUAGAAAAAACAAGAAAAAAGAUUGAAACUUUAACCACAAAUGUAAAAUAUAUGUGGACAUAAUGGUUGCCAGCUUGGAGUUUUUAAUGAGAGACAACGAAAUCAGAAGGAUCCCCUGAAUUUCAAUAUCAGUGGGCUAGAGAUGACCCACAAAGAAGAGACUGUUACUGUAUAAGUUCAUCCUCGCUCAUGGGCAGCCCCCACCACUCAAGAGUCCAAGGCGCCAUUAUUUGUUACGUAACUUCUGUAUUGAAAGUGAUUGAUUUGGAAUCCCAUGGAAAAUAAAAAGAAAAAGAAAAGGAGUAAGAAUGAAUGACAUUAUUUAGAUAAGAAAGAAGAUAGAAAAUCACAGCAAAGGCUAAGACGUUUUUUACAGAGGUUUGGGAGAAGUUUGGAGAGAGGAGAAGGCAUAAGCUAGCAAUGAAGUUCUUGUUCCAGUGCCCUUGCUGCUCAUGUUUCUGCUUCAUGAAGCCUAAGCAGGGGAAACCGAAGGUGAAGGAAGUUGCCAAGGUAGCCAAGGUAGAGGAUGCCAAGGUAGCCAAGGUAGUGGAUGCCAAGAAGGUAGAGGAUGCCAAGGAAGAGAAGAAAGAGUAAUUUAUAAACUAAAUGCAACUACAAUGUUGAUGUAAAAUAUUUGAUCUCCUUUUUUAGUGUAUGCAGGGCUCUUCUUCCUGCUUGCUGGUUGUUCUCAAGUAAUUUUCAUGUAGCAUUUUCCCUCUAAUCCAUAUGAAAUGCUACCUUUAAUUUCCAUGCAUGGAAAUAAAUGUUACUGCUACAUUUUAUUUUGCCCAAGUUAAAAACAAUGUAUCAUUUUCUGCUUAUAUCUGCACAAUUGCUUGCAAAUCUCUUUGUUCCAUGAACAAUUCUGGGAUAUUUGGUGUAAUCGAGCACGCUCUAGAGUUCAUGCAUGCUAUGCUUGCAAGGAAAUGAAGAGAUACAAGUAGCGAGGUGCUUGUUCAAGCAGAAAAGAAAGCUUGACGAGAUGUUAGUUUUCAAGAAUCUUCCUCAAGAAAUGUCACUGGUCUCUUUCCAUGGAACGUCAACGCUCAACACCCACAUUUGAAUUUCCAUAAAUCUUAUUUUCUGGCACAAACGCUCCCUCGAGGACUCGGCUUAGUGAUCGUAUACCGGCCACCGGAGCUUCUUCAAUAAGUUUGAAUUUU
This 41426-nucleotide long non-coding RNA is filed under the name Populus trichocarpa (black cottonwood). RNAcentral describes it as "long non-coding RNA (PTRI_LNC000407)". The record is from RNAcentral. Lineage: Eukaryota; Viridiplantae; Streptophyta; Magnoliopsida; Malpighiales; Salicaceae.